Molecule: ribosomal RNA, 253 nt
Filed under: uncultured bacterium
Lineage: Bacteria
Description: partial 16S ribosomal RNA
Rfam family: Bacterial small subunit ribosomal RNA
Source: RNAcentral
GACGGAGGGUGCAAGCGUUGUUCGGAAUCACUGGGCGUAAAGCGCGUGUAGGCGGUUUGAUAAGUCGAAUGUGAAAGCCCGAGGCCCAACCUCGGAAGUGCAUUCGAAACUGUCAGGCUUGAGUACGGGAGAGGGAAGUGGAAUUCCUGGUGUAGAGGUGAAAUUCGUAGAUAUCAGGAGGAACACCGGUGGCGAAGGCGGCUUCCUGGACCGAUUCUGACGCUGCGAUGCGAAAGCGUGGGGAGCACACAGG